AAGGAAUAAGCAUACAGAGAAACAGUGAAGGUAUGGAACGGUUUCUUAGGAUUGAAUGGAAGAGCUUUAAAUCUUGCUUUUUUUUUUUUUUUUUAAGAACUACGUAUUGCAAUAAUGGCCUGCUACAGCUCCUAUGGAAAAAAAAUUAAAAGGUGAUGUUUAUUCAUCUGUUCCCAUUCUUUCCCUCAGUUCCCUGGCGUGUCAUGCAAGAGAAGUGUGAUCCUUUGAUAAAUCAGCAGCGAUACAAUUUAAAAGAUGGAUUUGCUUACUGUUAGCAAUACUUGUAUGCUCUACCACAGCAGGAAGUUUUAGGUUGGAGACCUCCCAGACCAAGCCUUGCAAUUCUGGAGUAAAUGUUGCUACUAUAGUGAAAAAGAGCAGCCAUGGAAUACCUUGGAGUCCACAUGGCGUUUCUGGAAGAGCAGCACACCUGCCUCCCUUUGUCUUCAGGCUCUGCCUCCCAGGCCUCAUAGGCAGUGAAGUUAAAUUCAUGAGUUCAUAAAGUGCCGGAUUAUCUCUUGGUGGAAGGUGGGAUAGAACUGUAAAGCACUUUAUUUCUUUGCUGUCCACAGGGAGUUAUUACUUUGGUCCAACACAUUAUUAGUGAGCAUUUGAAAAUUGCACUGAAUGAUUCACUGGGAACCAAACAGUAGUAAAUAAUGCCUGUUUAGACCUGCUGUCCUGUGAGGAAAAUUUGGCUAGACGACAGGUUGAGAUUUGCCUAAACUAAUAUGUAUUUCUAAAAAUCUUAGCAAGGUCAACCAGAGUGAUCAUAAAUCAGUAGACUGUGAUAUUCGCAGUCUUCACUACUGCUCCUGAUCACGGGCAUUUACAUUACCUUGGUCUGCUAGCUUCAUUACAGGCCAUGUCUUUGAGAGAUUAAUCUGUUCUGCU
RNAcentral lists this long non-coding RNA (894 nucleotides) under Struthio camelus australis. RNAcentral describes it as "lncRNA (ENSSCUG00000012256.1)". The record is from RNAcentral. Lineage: Eukaryota; Metazoa; Chordata; Aves; Struthioniformes; Struthionidae.